This 482-nucleotide ribosomal RNA is filed under the name uncultured bacterium. Its description in RNAcentral is "partial 16S ribosomal RNA". It matches the Rfam family "Bacterial small subunit ribosomal RNA", at positions 30 to 507 of the family's 1533-position model. The record is from RNAcentral.
AUUGAACGCUGGCGGCAUGCUUUACACAUGCAAGUCGAACGGUAACAGGCCGCAAGGUGCUGACGAGUGGCGAACGGGUGAGUAAUGCAUCGGAACGUGCCCAGUCGUGGGGGAUAACUACUCGAAAGAGUAGCUAAUACCGCAUACGAUCUAUGGAUGAAAGCGGGGGACCGUAAGGCCUCGCGCGAUUGGAGCGGCCGAUGUCAGACUAGGUAGUUGGUGGGGUAAAGGCUCACCAAGCCAACGAUCUGUAGCUGGUCUGAGAGGACGACCAGCCACACUGGGACUGAGACACGGCCCAGACUCCUACGGUAGGCAGCAGUGGGGAAUUUUGGACAAUGGGCGCAAGCCUGAUCCAGCAAUGCCGCGUGCAGGAAGAAGGCCUUCGGGUUGUAAAAUGCUUUUGUACGGAACGAAACGGCUCUGGUUAAUACCCGGGGCUAAUGACGGUACCGUAAGAAUAAGCACCGGCUAACUACGUG